Molecule: long non-coding RNA, 4139 nt
Filed under: Homo sapiens (human)
Lineage: Eukaryota; Metazoa; Chordata; Mammalia; Primates; Hominidae
Description: HSALNT0285948
Source: RNAcentral
GUUUUAUCCGGGGUUUCCGCUUUUGCGUCUUCGUCAUUUUUCUCUUGCUACCACCAUUUGAGAAGUGCCUUUCGCCUCCUGCCAUGAUUCUGAGGUCCUCCCAAGCUAUGGGGAACUGUAAAUACAAUUAAACCUCUUUUUCUUCCCAGUCUCCGGUAUGUCUUUAUCAGCAGCAUGUAAAGGGACUAAUCCAGAGAGCCCCACCUGGAAGACUCUAGGUUCUCAUCUUCAUGCCCCGAUGUAAGGAGAGUGGUCCUUCUGUACAUCAGGAGUCUGAAAUGCAUCUCACUGGGCUAAAAUCAAGAUCUGUGGCACAUGGAACCACAUGUGGGACAAGAGACUAAUAAAGAUGUGACCUACUCACAGAGGCUUCAGGUGUUUUGCGAAGUACAUUGGCUUUUAUUCAACGUGCAGUGGGACUCCAACUAAAGUGUUUCAGGAAGACAACCUACAUGACAUGUUUUUCCUAAAGACAAUGCCUCCACUCCGAGUAAGUCACAGUCAAAGUAAAUGAAGAGCCCAAGAUGACAUCAGUUCCAUUUGUCGCACGGCCCUUUUGUGAUCUCCUGGUUCUUGUAAAUCUCACUGUGGCUGAUGAGGUCUGGAUAGAUAAUCAUGAUGGUGGCUGAAGAGAGACAAUGGUGGUGCUAGGUUACCAGUGGCGUGGAGCUCAGAGCUAAUGCAGAGCAGCUGGAGCAGUGCUGAGUUUCAAAACGUGUUGGAAAAAAUAUUAUAUGAAUGAUGCUAUUUUUUUCACUGAAUCACAUCAAGAAGCACAUGAUGUUAAGCUGUCUCAUCAUUGGUGGUGUUAACUUGGAUCGCUUGAUUAAGCCCGAGAACUACUCACUCUGGGUCUCCUCUCCACUGAGGGCUGCACACAUGCCGGGAUGACCUGCCUGUGGAAAGGAGCUACAACUUCAGGUCUCCUGAGAGCUGUAGGUAGGUUAGUUUUGCAUCGUUGAUUUAAGCAAUUUUCUAUGUAUGGGCGUUUACAUGGUAUCCAAUAAUUUGUUAUAUAACACAUAAUAUCCCAAUGCAUGAAGGCACAAAUAUGUAUUUUCUUGCUGUUGGUGGUGUAUGUUGGGGGUGAAUUCCUAAAGUGAUAUUGUUUGGUCAAAAGUUAAAUGUAUAUGUAGUUUUGGGUUACUAUUGGUAACUUUCCUUCCAUAGGAUUUGUACCAUUUUGCUUUCCCAUUAGCAAUGUGUAGGAAUGCCUGUUUCCCUGUAGCCUCCCCAACAGCUUGUGUUAUCAAGAUUUUGGAUAUUUAACAAACUUGAAGGUGAGAAAUUACAUUUAUUAAUUUGUAUCUUAUUUUUAGUAAUGUUUAAUAAUUUAUAUGCUUCAGAUUAUUUUAUAUCUAUCUGAGAUUUAUCUAUUUAAUAUAUCUGAGAUUUAUCUAUUAAUGAUUCUUGCCCCAUUUUCCAUCAAUUUUUGGUCUUAAUUUAUUUUUCUUUUCAUAAUGUGAUUUUCCUUGAUUAUGUAUUACAAAUGUAUUCUAGUUUGUCUUUUUACUGACACUGCUUACAGUUGGCAUUGCUAUUAUUUUUGCUUUGGAAAGGUUUGCUAAAUGAAUUCAUUUUUAUUUUAGAGGAGUUAAAAUUUUCAGUGUUUUCUUUUAUUGUGUUGCAAUUUUGGAUCAUUAUUACAAAACAUUGUUUUUUAGAGCCAGAUUACAAAUUACCCCACAUUUUCUUCUAAUGCAUGUGAUGGCAGCAGCGGCCAAAUAGAGUAGCUGCUGCAAAGGUGCUAGCUGCAGUGGGGUAUGCAUGACUGGGACGGCUAACUCCGCGGAGCUGGCAGGAGCUGGGAACAGGCGGGAGCUCCACCCCCUUCCAAGUGGGUGGGGCAUGAGCUUUGUGCUUCUGGGUGCAACUGCAGCUGCCCAGCCACGACUGCGGACCCAGGCAUCCCUGUGGUCUUGGGGGCCCAGGAAGUCUCCCUGCCCCCGCAGGCUCAGAAGGGCCUCCUCCUGCUGCCUGGCCUCUCUCCACUCCCAGCAUCCACUCUGAUUUUGGAGGAAAGUUGUGGCCGAGCUCGGGCUCUGUCACGACCCGGCUGGGUGUGCGCACACUCAAGGCAGCACUGACAUGCCAGCCCCUUGCCGCCUCGGCCCCACUCCGUAAUUGGGACACUGACAAACAUGGGAGGGAGGUCAAGAGGGGGCUGAGGGCGGCUUUGUGUGAGCCUGCAGGCACCCCUUGGCACGAACAGCCUGGGCACCAUGAAUGGCAGCAGUAGGCAGACAGGCUCCUGGGCAGAAAGGGGCACGUCCCUGGUGAAACCCCACCUUCAAGCCAGGGAGGGCCUGAAGCCUGGGGGCUGGGCUGCCAGUUGCACAGACCAGAGUGAGAACUUAUGGUGCUUUUUCUGGGCCCGCCCAUGGCCACCCGUAGACCAAUCAGCACACUCUUCCUCCCCUGUGAAACCCAUAAAAACCCUCAGAGUCACCCAGAAUUGGACAGAUGACAAGACAACCGGACUGCAGGGAGGAGCUACCCAUUCAAGGUCUCCUCUCCAAUGAGGGUUGCAGAGAUGUUGGGGCAAUUUGCCUGCAGAUAGGAGCUACCCACUUGGGAUCUCCUCUCUGCCGAGGACUACACACUUGAUGGGAUGACCUGCUUGUGGAGAAGAGCUACCCACUGUGGGUCUCCUCUCAGCUGAGGGUUGCACAGAUGCCCAGACCACAUGCCUGUGGAAAGGGGAUACCCACUUUGGGUCUCCUGAGAGCUGUACUGCCACUCAAUAAAGCACUGCUUCACCUUGCUCACCCUCCAGUUGUCUGCAUACCUCAUUUUUCCUGGAUAUGGGACAAGAACUUGGGACCAGACAGACAAAUGGCAGGACUAAAAGAGCUGUAACACAAACAGGGCUGUAACCCCCACCCCAACACCACUGGCCACAUUGUGGGUGACGAGAAGGAAAGAAGUAGAGAAGAGCUGCAGUUCUUUGGGGAUUGCAAACCUAGGAGCUCCCUGAGCCAGGGCUGUGAAACCUUCUUUAGGGCUCUGCAUUUCCGGGCAUCAUCUCCAAGCUUCCAGGUGCCACCGCAUUCCCUGGUUCCUGAGGCAGAAGCUACUUGUGAUACACUUGGUCUAGCUACAGCCUUGCAGGGAGCCGGAGCCUGUGCCAGUGCCUGGAGCUGCCCACCCCACCACAGCCAGCGUGCCUGGCCGUGCGCGGUGGCCGGACCCCACUUUUGCUUCUUCACACACCCCUCACCACUCUGCGCUUGGCCCAACCUUGGCAGGCAUGGGAUCCGGGUGGUAGCGAAAGCCGAGUGCAGCCUGUCAGGCCCACUGGGUGGAACAGGCUCAGCAGGCCCAAGCAAAACUUGGGCAAAGGUGCCACUGGCCAUAGAGGUUGCUGGCUGGUGAAGCAACACCCUAAGGAACCUGGGAAACAUGUAUGGCUACAUUUAUAUUUUACACUCAGAAUUCUAAUUCAUUUGGAUUUUUUUUUUUUUCUGUGUAGAGGGAAAAGUGUGAAUCCAUUUUUAUCAUUAUCUAAAUGACUGUUCAGUUGUUCCAACAUGCUUUGAUAAAAUGUCCAUAUUUGUCUCUGUGAUUUGAAAUGACUACCUUUAUCGUGUAGUAAAUUUUACUAUGUUCUUGGCUGUUGUAUUUUCUAUUAUAUUCCACUGGUCUGUUAUUUCUUUACCAGUAUAAAUAACAUGGAUUCAAUUGCAGAAACUUUAUAGUAUGUUUUAAAAUCUGGUGGCACUAUUCCUUUCCUGUUGCUCUUAUUUUUAUGGGUUGUCCUACGUGUUCAUGCAUAUUAUUUUUCACAUGAACAACUCCACAAUAGUUGGAGAAAAAAAAUCUUCCUGGUAUUUUAUUAGAGUUGCAUUAAAUUUAUGCAUAAACUAAGAGAUAAGAGAGACAUAACAUCUUGUUGACAUUGACACAUCAUAAUCAAGAACAAGCAAUGUCAUUUCAUUUUUGCACAUCUUCCUUUUUGUCUUCCAGGAGAUGCUAAUCAUUUUCCUUAUAUAGUUUUUAAAUCGUCUUCCCUUAGUAUUACGUAGAUUGUCAUUAUUUUAAAGGCUAAUUCUGACAGCUUCAUUAUUUGGCAUCUUUGUAUUGUGCAUAUUUUUUCUUGAUUUUAGAUCAUUUGAUCUUGAGUCCUAGUGUGUUGGUUA